AUCCUCCAAAUGGAGGGGACAUCCCACAACUGGGGAGAUGAUUUCCCCAGGCUGAGGGUCAUCUCUUGCACUCUGGCUAUGCUGACCCCUGCAAUCGCCACAAUUGUGGGAGUUGCUGGAUGUCUUGUGAAUAGGGAUGAUGUUCAUGUCCUCCCCUG
Molecule: small nuclear RNA, 158 nt
Organism: Apteryx haastii (Great spotted kiwi)
Lineage: Eukaryota; Metazoa; Chordata; Aves; Apterygiformes; Apterygidae
Gene: U1
Rfam family: U1 spliceosomal RNA
About the family: U1 is a small nuclear RNA (snRNA) component of the spliceosome (involved in pre-mRNA splicing). Its 5' end forms complementary base pairs with the 5' splice junction, thus defining the 5' donor site of an intron.
Source: Ensembl